UCCAAUAGGUUCCCUGUUGCUGGGGUCAGACUCCAUGAGGGCAAGCAGUCAGGGCAGCUGCUUUGCAGAAGGCCAAGUGCCCUGUGUGAGUUGGGAGAAGCUGAGCCCAGGAGCAGAAAGCAGGCUGUUGUCCCUAACUCUGAAGCAUUUUGCAGCAGGCUAGUGAUAGUGUUACCCUCUAACAGGGAAGCAUGGGAAAUGCUAAUUAUAGCAAGAAGAAUUGGGGGCUCUGGCACUGACAUAAACCAUGAGAACCUCAGAGAUGGAAUUACAGCAUCAUGUUUUGCAGGUGGAACAAAGAGGGGGAACCAGCACCAUGUGACCAAACAGCUUCUCACUGACAACCAGAAAGUGGACAAAAAGACUUCCCAUUGGGAACCACAGCCUGAUCAACCAUGAAACAUAGCUCCACUGAUAGUGCUGUGGAGUUGGGUGUUGGGAACAGGGUCGGUGUGAGGUAGCUAGUUCCAGGACUAUGGUUGAGCUACAAAUCAUUCUCCCCUGUGUACGCAGGUGUUUUGAGUGCUACUGAGUCCUGAGUAUACCAAAGAGAAUCAGAUUCCUAAAAAUAAAUCCAAGAAUUUGCUAAGUACAUUGAAUGCUGUGGAAUUCCAAGAGCUGUGGUUAUAAUUAUGCGCAAUAACUCAGUACUUAUAGCCUAUUUGCAUUUCUGUCAAAUCUGCUCUCUCAGGCCUGGUCUACACUACUAAGUUAGGUCAACCUACGUUAACUAGUUUUGACUUAACUUUGGCAGGAAACGUAUUUAGAUGUAAACAUUUGCAAAGUACGCAUCCUGUUACAGCAACAUAGUAACACCACUUUCCUGAAUGGGAGGCUCAGUCAACCUAGUCUCGUUGAUGCAGUGCAAGUGUAGACGCUGCAUUAUGUGUGAGGACCCUCAAGUUUUCCAGCAGCUGUCCCAUAAUGUCCCUGUCCCUAUAACAGUGAUUGCUCCAAUCACAAUUUUGAACUCCACUGCUCUGUGGUCAUAGACACUGGAAGCCCCCACACCUUAAUACUCCUAGCAUGUUUUUGAAAUGCCUUUUCCUGAUUUCCUACCUUGGUGAGCAUACCUAUUGGCCCACUAUGGUGAGCAUACAACCAUGCCAGCUCCACACAUGCAGAGAGCUACUAGACACACUCAGGAGGAGGAAAGAAGUCGUGGAUCUCCUCAGCCUAUGGGGAAAAGAGACUGAAUAUCUUUGUCUGCUUCUUAGCUUUGCUUGCACAGACAUAUCUGUGCAGAUUGCAGAGGGGACAUUGAACCUGGGGCACAGCAAAGAUGAGCAGCUGUGCUGUGUGAAAAUAAAUGAAUUUCAGCAGCUGUAUCAGAGGGAGAGAGAGGCCUGCUGCUUCUACAAUGAACUGCAUGCUAUAUUUGGCAUAGAUGCUACCUGCAUGUGUGUGAACACUUCAUGGGAGCCUGAUGCAGAGGCCCUGGCAGUGUGCAAUGAGGCAAACUAGAAGGAAAUGCAAACCAUGCACUGAGCCAGGAGCUGUCUGAAACUCCACCAGAGUCAAGCCAGUCAUGCCAUGCUAGCGCAGAUGACGACCAUUAGUGCCAACCUCAAGGCAGACUAUCAAGAAGCAGGGCAGAGAUCCCAAACUGGUUGUAUGCUCUAGAACUAGAUUUCACCAACCCAGUAAUAAGUAUGAACUCCUACAGCACUAUAACAGUCUUACCAUGUAGUCACACAGUCCCCUUUUGCUUUCCAGUCUAUCUUGCCACUCAGAGAAACUGGACUUAAUGAUAGCCCCCCAACAAACUGAAGAACGGAAGAGCGGAUACCACAUCUACCUCUUUUUUUUCUACCUCUGUCUGAGCACAGGACACUGAUCUGAUGUGGACUGUU
Mauremys reevesii (Reeves's turtle) is the source of this 1853-nucleotide long non-coding RNA. RefSeq lists it as uncharacterized. The record is from RefSeq and is a predicted model, not a curated record. The transcript is spliced from 3 exons. NCBI's taxonomy places the organism in Eukaryota, Metazoa, Chordata, Testudines, Geoemydidae.